AGAUUUUAACUCCACCACUAAGUACCCAAAAUGUGUUCAUGUAUCUAAACUGUAUCUAAGUGUCCCAAAUUAAGUUUAAGUAUCCCACCAAAAUCCAAACAAUUACCCAUAAUUCUCAUUUUCUCAUAUUGAAACUUAUUUUUGUCAAAUAUAUCAAAUUGGUCCGAAUAUAUCAAAAUCGAUAUUUCAAAAAAUACUCAUCAAUUUUAUUAGGGAAGUAUCCCUCUGCCGAAUUUCGUGGGCUCCGUGCACCCCUGUCGGAUUUCGUGGGCUCUGUACACCCCUACCGGAUUUCAUGGGCUCCGUGCACCCCUACCGAAUUUCGUGGGCUCCGGUGUACCCAAGGCUAGGGACACC
RNAcentral lists this long non-coding RNA (357 nucleotides) under Actinidia chinensis (golden kiwifruit). RNAcentral's name for it is "long non-coding RNA (ACHI_LNC004269)". The record is from RNAcentral. Lineage: Eukaryota; Viridiplantae; Streptophyta; Magnoliopsida; Ericales; Actinidiaceae.